This 539-nucleotide ribosomal RNA is filed under the name Aspergillus bisporus. RNAcentral's name for it is "SSU rRNA". It matches the Rfam family "Bacterial small subunit ribosomal RNA", at positions 364 to 940 of the family's 1533-position model. The record is from RNAcentral. Lineage: Eukaryota; Fungi; Ascomycota; Eurotiomycetes; Eurotiales; Aspergillaceae.
UUGGUCAAUGGCCGAAAGGCUGAACCAGUAACUUGGAAGAAUGAAAGUGUAUUAAAUUAAUACAUAACGAAUACCUCGUAUAAAGUUCUAAAUAGAAUAAUGAUAAUGACAAUUAUCUAUUUAUAAGUCUUGACCAAAUUACGUGCCAGCAGUCGCGGUAAUACGUAGAAGACUAGUGUUAGUCAUCUUUAUUAGGUUUAAAGGGUACCUAGACGGUAAAUUAAACUCUAAAUGAGUACUUUUUUACUAGAGUUUUAUGUGAGAGGGAAGAAUUUCUGGAGUAGGGAUAAAAUACUUUGAUACCAGAAGGACUGGUAACGGCGAAGGCAUCCUUCUAUGUAAAAACUGACGUUGAGGGACGAAGGCUUGGGUAGCAAUCAGGAUUAGAUACCCUAGUAGUCCAAGCAGACAAUGAUGAAUGUCAAAGGCUAGAUAAUUUUGGCCUAUAAAUGAAAGUGUAAGCAUUCCACCUCAAGAGUAAUAUGGCAACAUAAAAACUGAAAUCAUUAGAUCCGUUCCUGAAACCAGUAGUGAAGUAU